AGACCAAAAUUCUGAAGUGCAGGCUUUGUGAGAGAAAGGAUCUCAUCUGCUCAUAUCUAUAAUUUAAUUAUUCCAUCCUCAGAUCUGGAAAAAAUCCUCAAAGUAGAUGCUCAAAAAGUUAUCAAUUCAAUAAGUGAAUGAAAGUUGUGAAAAGCAAGGAAUAGAAUGGAGAGAAAUAAAAGAUACCAAUUUCUUGAAUUUAAAAGUAAAAAUUUUAAGAAUAGAGGGUAGCAGAAUGUGCCACCCCAAAAUAUGCUCCUUUGGCAUGAUUAUUUUGAGCUAAUUAGAUUGAGGAAGAAAGAGAGGCUGGAGAAGAUCUGGAAACAAUAGAAGUUACCAUUUUAUAUCCUCUUUGAAGCCCCUAUCUCUCUCCUUAGUAUAAAAGUCUCAUUCGGUUAUCUUUUGAGCCUCGUAUCUUCAUGGGGCUUCUGUCCAUAUGUACUAAUCAAUUUUUUUCUGUUAAUCUCAAAACAUUUCCUAAUAAAAUACUAAAUAUAUAAAACUAAUAUAUGUUAAGAAACAGGGGAAAGUAAUAGAGUAUACUGCAUUCAAGCCAAUUUCUAUUCUUCAUGGGGAUAGACAAUAGAUACUCUAAAUUUGAUACCUUAGUAGAGGUAUAAGCAUAUUAUUUACAGGUAUGAAAGAAAUAACCAGAAGAAUUAAAAGCAGAAAAAAAUUUCAACAAGUGUACCCAUGAUUACGUAAGAUGUUAACAUCUGGGGAAGCUCAGGGACGGCUACAUGAGAACUCCCUAUACCGCCUUUGCAACUUUUCUGUGCAUAAAUAUUUACUGAAAAAUUUUAAAAUUAUGUAAAUAAAAAGCAGAAGUUGACCAAAAUAUCAUGGGAAUAUGGUAAUAAGGCAGGUAAAUAGUUUUUAUUUUAUGCUUUUCUUACUAAUUGUUUCUUUUUCAAGUGUGCAUGUGUUUAAUUGACAGUGAUGAUAACACAGAGGACAGUGGAGCUGAUGAUGAUAAUGAUGAAUAAAAGCUUUAAAAUAUGUAAGUCAUACUUGUUAAGAUGUUUGAGUAAAGGGCAUCACCAUUAGGAAGGAGGGGAAGAAGGGCAGAAGGAAGGAGAGAGGAAGGAAAGGAGGAAGUGGGGGAAGAAGGGAGGAAGAUUUCAUGAGUAGGACUAGGUCUUGGUCAUGCUUGGUGUUUAAAUGGGUCUCAUGUGGUGAAAACUGGAGCAGGAAUACCCAAGACUGGUUGUAGGAUAUGAUUCAUUUCAUUAGUCCUGUACACUGGCUGGCUUCUGCUUUCACUGGAAUAGAGUCUAGUUCCCGAAUAAAGCUCCUAAGAGGCAGGCACAUUGUCAGGACCUCCUCUUUAGAAAAGAACUUGGAAUAAGAGCCCACUUCCAGGCCCCAUGUGCAUAUACUGGCCAAUAUAGCAGAGAUAUAGGAAAAGCAAAAUUAUAGAUCAAACAAAGUAAGAAUUAGGGGGACUACGCCAAGUUAAUAGGUUCCCUCCUGUAUUUGUUUUCUAUGCUGCUGCAACACAUACCACAAAACUUAGUGGCUUAAAACAACACGCAGAUUUAAUACCCUGAGGUUUGUGGAUCAGAGGUUUAACAAGGUCUCGCCUGGCAAAAAUCAAGGUGUGGACAGGAUCGCAUUUGCCUCUGGAGGCUCUAGGAGAGAAUCCACUUCCUUCCUUAUCACACAUCCAGAGGCUGCCCACACGCCUUUGCUCAUGACCCUUCCCGUCUUCAAAGCCAACAACACAGAGAUAAGAACUUCUCACAGUGCCAUCUCCCUGGUUCUCCUCUGGUGUCACCACAGUCUCUCUGAUGAGCUACAGCUGGGAUAGGUCCUCCGCUUUUACGGACACAUGUGAUUAGAUCAGAUCGGACCCACCUGGAUAAUCCAGGCUACUCUCUCUAAGGUCCAUAACCUUACUCACACCUGUAAAGUGCCUUUUGUCAUGUAAGGUGGCAUAUUUGCAGGUUCCAGGUGAGUACAAUGUGGAUAUCUCUGGGGCCAAUUGUUUAGCCUACCCUACCUCCCAGACUCUGGAACUUCUUCCAGAAACCCAAGGACAUAUUCAUGAGGAUCCUAUUCCUGUACUGGUCCAGAUAGUUUUAGGGUCUGGGUAGAUGUCCCUGUAGGUAUUCUGUAUCAAUCCAGUACGUGGGUGUGUUGAGAAAGGUGGGUGGGCUGAUGCAGAACAAGCAUGGUGAUUAAAAUGAUAAUUUGCAAUGUUACUCCUCUUUUAUCAUUUUAGAAAUAUAAUAUUUAGAAAAAUCAGCCGCUACCUUUAUAUGAGGUGGCUUUUUAUAUCUAAUUCUCAAAGCAACCUAGUAAUUACGAAGAUGAGAAUCACACAAUGAAAUUUAAUUUCACCAGGAUAAUAACAAGAGGAAAAAAAAUCUUUUUUUUUUUAUUUCCAAGGAAGACUGGAAAUUACUUCUUCCCAUCCUCCUUUGCAGUUUCUAAGCUAUGCUCCUAUAAUGGAUUUUUAUCUGUUUUUAUAAGUAAUUUCCUUAAUAUUUCAAUGGUCACAGAUAGUGAGAAUUGCAUGUCUCUUCAGGAAACAUAU
RNAcentral lists this long non-coding RNA (2539 nucleotides) under Sus scrofa (pig). RNAcentral describes it as "lncRNA (ENSSSCG00065029631.1)". Lineage: Eukaryota; Metazoa; Chordata; Mammalia; Artiodactyla; Suidae. The record is from RNAcentral.